RNAcentral lists this microRNA (22 nucleotides) under Sus scrofa (pig). RNAcentral describes it as "ssc-mir50". Lineage: Eukaryota; Metazoa; Chordata; Mammalia; Artiodactyla; Suidae. The record is from RNAcentral.
UCUCCUUGCGAGUCUCUGCUGC